AUAUAUAUAUAUAUAUAUAUAUAUAUAUAUAUAUAUAUAUAUAUGAGGAACUAUGUGUGUGUGUGUGUGUAUGCUAUAGCAAACCAACACAUUCUGUUUGACAAUCAUUUUUUCUUUUUUACAUUUUACAGCUUACAAAUAUACCUGAUCUUUUGACAAGAUUACAGAUUCUGUUUGACACCUAAAUUUAUAUGCUAUAUAAAAAUCUCUCAUCAUACAUUCAUGAUUAGAAAAGUAGGUUAUAUGACAUAAAAACGAAAGAACAAACUAAACACCACAGUAUGCAGUUUCAACAGAAUUUCAUCAAGAGGAAUGGGGGUGGAGGUUGCCAGUCGUUCAUAUUAAACCCACCAUGGAGCUCUCUGAGAGGAGAUCGCUGCUACUCCAGACUCGUUGGUACAGUGAAGACAUCAAGGAACAACAGCAGUACUGUCACAUAGGAGUAAAGUAGCUGAUCUCAGUUCAGAGUCAUAAAGUAAUAUAUUAUCAUGAGUUCUAAUGGGUGUUUGAUUAAAAACUAAACCUUGCGUUGCUAACUGCAUGCUAAACUUCAUACCUCGGUAUCUCUCUUCUUUCACCAGAGCUCACUUAAGGCUUAGUCCAAAGAUUAUGCAAAUGCUUUCAAGCUUUCCUUUCAUGCCUUGAAAUCUCAGCAUGAGACAUCUGCCUGAAUUUGAAAUCUUUCUCACAUCUGUGGGACAAAGUUUAACUAAACUUCAAGAGGGAGCUGUCAUUCGAGUAUAGCACAACUAAGAAACCUGUAGUAAAAGCAAGCACUGCGGAUGCUUCUUUAACAGGCAGGCUUUUUUCUUUUUUUUACGUGUGAGACAGUGGAAUCUGCAGGGCAGGGUUAGUACGGCAGGGGUGGACUGAAAAGUUGCUGUCUUAAAAAAUACAGCUGCUUUAGUCAUUGCUUCAGACGUGGGUCCACCUUCUCUGGGAAACCAAAAUCUCCCCAGUGAGGUUCGGUUUUAUACAAAGUAUUGCUGAAUAUGAAGCAUUGCAUUUCUUUAUGAAGUUUGCUACACUUGUCUUGUUUAGGAUACACUGGCAUCACAUCAUUUAAAAACCCCAGAUGUCACAUGCUUUAAGCUAGCCAGCAUUUUAGUUGUUUUCUUUUAAACUGUAAAUAACAUAGACGUCUCCUCACACUGGUGCAUUAUUAUAUAACAUCUGCAAGCACUGAUCUACUCAAAACAUCUAAAUAGAAAACAAAAAAGAGUUGCAACUCAUCUUCAAUACUGCUUCACUAACAGAAAAUCAGACUGAAAUAUAUAUUUUUAACCCAAAUCUUGUAAAGUAGUUUUGUUUAUUCAUGUUUCCUCUCUGAAAGCCUCCAGAACCCUGCCGGAGCGUGACUCUGGGCUGAACAGAACUCUGAUGGCAGGACCGUGUGUCAGACAGACAUUCAUAUCAAGAGACAGCUGGGAUUACGCAGUUCUCUCCAGCUGAGGGGUUACCAUGGUGUCUGGCUGAGAAGGACCACAGGCAUACCUGAUUGGGAUUAGGAGGACCAUGACCAGAGGGAAGAUCAUCUUCAUGUAUGGUAUGGGGUACAUGCCAAAUGUGCACAGCACCAGCAGCUGCAUCAUCUGCAAAAAGGGAUGAUAAUUUGGAGGAGGUGAUGGAACAAGGUGAAACUAAAAAAGAAGGAUCUUCACAAAUGUAAGUACAAGGUUGUAUCUGUAUACGGCUGUCACAUUUGUCAGGAAAAGUAAACAAUAAUUACUUUAGUAGGUUAGCUUUUGUGGGAAUUGAAGAAAACAUUAACGAGGAAGAGUACAACAAUAUUCAAAACUCUGUGUAAGUAUUCAGAUGUUAAUAAAAUGUGUCUAAUUUUCCAUACUAAAAACUUUUUUGUGUGUAUUCAGGAUAGAGUCAUCAGAUGACACAUGGCCACCAGAGAACCAGAAGUUGAUUUGUCUUCAGAGGAGGACAAAACCAUCUAGAUGGACAGCGGUACUGAUGAUGGCGGUGAUGAGGACUACACACCUUAAAUACACAUAAGAUACCAUAAAAUAUUCAACAAAAAAUCUAGAUGCUGGAGGCUGUAUUCUGAGAAGGUGGCAAAAGACUUCUCCUACAUCCCAGAGAUCCAAACCAUGAUCGUCAACCAACGUUUGACAAGCAAGAAAGGUCUUCCUCGACGCUACAAGCUAAGGCCUGAGGAUCCAAGGCGUUAUGGUUUGCUGUCCGGAGUCCCUGCACCAUCAACAGAGGAACUUCUACAACACCUACGGACUCAUGGUGAUGGUAAAACUUUACCAAAGACAUAGGUGUUGGGGGAGGCAAGAGAAAACCCAAAACCUUCUUUAUUUUUGUGUUUCCUGUUUUUUUUUCUUUUUUUUUGAAAAUAAAGAUAUUUUUUUUGGGAAAUAAGGACUAAUAAUUUAAAAAUGUAUGUAAAAUGCUGGAGGUAGACAUAAGUUUUUGUUGUUGUGCAGGAGUUUAACAUUUAUGGUAUUUUUACAAAUGCAACACAGGGUUAUGCUUUAGAACACUUUAUUAGAGCAUCAAACAAAAAUAUAUAAAAAAACAAAUGUAUGUAAAAUAUCAAAUAUAUACAUUUAUUUACAAUCACCUUGGAAUAAAACCAGUGGGGUCAGGGAAUUUUUCCCUUAUCCUCCAGACCACAGCUUGGGAUUACUACCCUGCGACCUCCACCAAGUUUUCCAUGCUGCCAUGCUACAAAUUGUCUGUAAGCUGCAUGGCGGAACUGUCUGUUGUCCUCACCAGGGUCCGGGUCAUCAUAAACCGCUCGAAACUCAUUCCACAAUGUUCUGGCCAGGCGAAGAACACCAUUUUGCAGAAUAAACUCCUCCAUGUGUGGGACAGUUGAAAUAAAUGUCUGGGGAGGCUGUUGGCAGCAUUUCCUUUCCAAAUCAGUUGGCAUCUCUGCAGUGGGAGCAUACACACCAUGAAGGUUUAUUGGAUGUUGGAGGUGUUGUGCCAGGUGGACCAGAGAGGGCAAGUACGUCAAAGAGAACACCAGGGUCUCUGUCCAGCACCAUGGUAAGGACGUCAAUAGCCUGCUGAGGGUUCAGGUUCUGUAUGUGUUGCUACAAACGUGGAAAGAGAUGCUACAGCAACAGUUUUUAGGAUCAUUUAGUGUAAUUUUGUUAUGCUUACACGUUCAAAGUCUAUUAGCUCGGAAUGAAGAUUCUGAACUCGAGGGAUAUCUUCAUCUCCAAGGUCCACAGCUGAGUGUCUCGCACUUCUUCGGCCUCUGGAUGCACCACGGCCUCUGGAUGCACCACGGCUUUGAGAUGAUGGUGGGCAUCUCCUUUUUGCACCACGUCUUGAGGAUGCAAUAGAAGGUUCAAACUUCCUCAGAGGAUUCCUCAAUCACUGAACUCUAAAUUGUAUUAGAAUUUUUAAAUAAUUAUACUAAUAUAAAAAGUACUCUUGCAUAUUAAUCAAUUUUGACACAGAUCAGGUUUGCAUCUAGUCCAAAUUUGGGCUAAACCAACAAUAAACACAAACUAUGAAAACAACCAUGAUUAUAGGAGGACUACACAGAAUGCAGUGUUUAUUCAUGAUUUCCACAUAAAUUAUAUGCUUUGAUAUAUUCAUCCCAUCUUGAAUGGCAAAGCAAUUAAAAAUAAGCUAAUUACUCGUAAUAAAAUGCUAACAAUUUGAUAGGAUUAAUUUUAUUUACAAUAUACAUUGUCAACUGUUACUGGUAUUUUAAAAUAUAAAUAUAUUUAUAGAUAUUCUUUAUAAAAUGCCUUUUGUAAACAAUAAGUGUUUAAUGUGCUGGUUAAAAACAACUUUCUUACCUCAGAUAACUCCAUUGCUAACACUACCUCAGCUCUAUUAUGAAGAAGCAAUGCUGCUCCGAUGUUGACUCAGCUUUUCCUGUGCGUGCACAUUAGGAGGUGUGGCUUUCGGCUCUUUCAGGAAGGGCGGGGGAGUGAGCAACAGCCGUUCGAAUUUAAAAAUCUCCUCCUCCUCACUGACGGUGUCAUCUUAUGGACCGUGCCUUUAAAUGAGGCUGCUAGCUAGCAUGCUACAUUGCACACCUUCUUGAGGUUCAUUGGGUUGUGAGGGGACACCUGCUGACAUAUCAUCAGCUGCUGAUUCUGGUAGGGACAAGGACAACAACCCAUUUACCAUAAUUAGAUGAAACAUAGUUCCUCUCACUGUGGAUAUCAGAGCUAGCAAACAGGUUGAAUUUAACCACUCACUAACUAAACCCACCUUUCUUUGAGAAAAACUGUGUGACAUACUGACGCCCUCUCUUGUGCCUGUCCUCUUUCUCCUUUCUUUCUUCGACCCAGACUUUGCUUUUGCAGACAUUUUUACUGCAGCCUUGGCGCACUCUGCUGUCUGACUGCUGCGUGAGCUGGCCUCGCCUGCUACACGCCCCUCGGCCAGGUGGACUGUACCAUUUUAUGCCAUUAGGAGUGGGGGAGUGGGGCGGGCGGUCAAAUUAAUUAGUCAAAAUAAAGUAGGGACCUCUGAAUAAAUAAAGACUUAAAGAUUGUUUGUUUAAUGUCUUAAAUGAGAAAAAAUACUGCAAAGUAAAGUACUUGUGAUUUUUUAAAUUUAUUUUUUUUAUUCAACUUUGAAACUUUUUUGGGCCCCUGACAGCUGUGGGCCCUUAGAAUCUUCCUAAUUUUUCACUGCUUUACGGUGCCCCUGCCUGUAGACCGUUGGGCCUGCUCAGGUUUACGUAGACAAGCUUUAAAUUUAGACUUGGCAUACAGAUAAAAAAUGAAUGCAGUAAAAUAAAAUAUAUUUUAAGUAAAUAUUCAUUAAAGGGGCAUUAUGGAAGUUUGACAGCCAAAACAUGUCUAGAAAUAAUAAAUGUCUUCUUCAUACAUUCUCCUGCAAUGCCCUGGUCCUGUAGAAUGAGCCCUGGCAUUUUUACUGUGAUUGCCUGUUUUUCUGUAAAAUCACAGAAAAAGAGAGAUGCUCGAGUCGAGCAGGCUGCUUCAUGCGCGUUCACGCUCAGGCUUAGCCCGUAGCAUUUGCUAGCAGCAGAGAGAGAGGUAGUGCCACUUUGUCGCUGUUCCUAACGCCUAGUGACAAAGCUAGCUACAUUUCUGAGGACCCUUAGCUACUUUCUGUAGAACUUUCUUCUAGAUAUUUCCUGCAAAUUAGCAACAAAAUAGCCAUUUUCACUCCAAACCGUUCUUUGAACGUUGUUUCAGCUGUCAUGAAGGAUAUAAAUGUUACAGAUGCAAAAGACGUCACUGGCGCUUUAGCUCACCUAGUAAAACAUUGGACUCCUGUGCAGAAGACCUGGGUUCGAAUUUCAAAGUCAAAAGUCAAAGUCAUUUAUUGUCAUCUUCUACCACAUGUGCAGGACAUGCAGAGAAAUGAAAUUCAGUUUCAGCACACACAAUUCAAAGAUCAGACAUACGUGGGUAAGACACAUAACAAGAAUUGGUGACUGCAGUCAUUCGCAACAUGAGUCGCGCUACCUUAAUAGAUAGAUGAAAAGGGUGUUACAUGAGGAUAAGUGGGGGUAGGUAAAAAAAAGGCAUAGCAGAGUUAGCCCCAGCGGGGAGUAACUCUAUUAUACAAAAAAAAAAAAACUCCUUUCAACAUGGAAGCACAAAACAGCACAGAUACAAACAUCAGAGUCCGAUGGGGAGGUGGGGAUGGGCGGGAUCCUGAAGCCUCCAAUGGGAGCUGCCACUGUGGCGCAUCGACCAGCUGCAGACCAACAGGUGGGAGGGAGAGAUAAGGACCAGAGAGCACAUUGAAGUUCCUGCAGACAUGUCAGCCUGAAGGGAGAGGGUGAAGGUCAGGACACAGCAUCUGUCGGCAUUCCUCCUUUUGUGGGGGUGUGUUGAGGCAGCCUUGAGAGGCUGCUAUGGCGUCAGAUAAGGAUAAACAUGACUUUGUUUAGGGCAGGCAGAGAUAAUCUUCCUCUCCGCCUUGGAGUCUUUAAGUGGUCAUUCAUGUCCACCAGUGAAGCCAAUUUUACAUUCCACAUCCCCGCAUCGUCCGGCGACCCUCUCCGAGAUCAAAUCCAUCUUGCACACUAACACAGGCAACGCCGCGAGGACAUUGUCCAGCUUACGGUUCACCUCGAGUAACGUCCCAGUCUGUGAGGUCACCGCCCGAGCGGCGCAUUCCGUGGGUACGGGUCACACUCCAAUCGCUCCCGUCUUCCCAAAUUUCCAGAAAACCAGAUAUCCUCCCACUCCAAUCAGAAGAAAUCCAGUGAUCAUCAGGCCGAAUAUCCACAAAUCUUCCACGUCCUUGAUGGACAGCUGAGAGAGGCACACGAUUCGCCAGACCUCCCAAGAAUCGAGUGCAUAUCCCGAUGCGAAUGUCCCCUCGGGACAGGUGGGAGCCCCCUUCUCCGUUAUCAUCGUAGAGAAAAUUUUCUCAAUCACGUUGAAUGACCAGUUAAUGAAGUCCAUAUUUCCAAAAAAGAGUAGUGGUUUCAGGAGAAAUGCAGAGAAGUGCUCUGUAGGCAGACAGGACAAGAGCCUUAGGGAAGCCGAUAAGGGAGCUGAGAAAAAAAGCGUCUGUACUCUCUGAAGGCUGAGAAAGAACAUAGUUAAUUUGGAGUCUUUUUUACAUUAAUGGUAUAUUUUUUUACAGUAAGGUGCCCAAAUUUUUAUUUGAGACUCGCCGAACAGCAUUGAAUUCACAGAUAAAAAAGAUGUGGGUUCAACUUUCAUUUUGGAACUAUUUUUCAAGCAAGGGAUCUGAGCAUGCAGGAGGACUGACCCAUCAUAAACCUUUGUCGGCUGUGCUGAAGAGAAAGGUACAGAACCAAAUUAUUUAAUUAAUUAGCUGCGUGUUCUUCUGUCCUCUGUCCUCCGGGCCACACCCACACACACACACGCACACAUGCACACACGCACACACGCACACACACACACACACACACACACACACACACACACACACACACACACACACACACACACACACACACACACACACACACACACAAGGGACUAUCUCAGCUGUUGUUUUCAUUAAGGAGUGUGCACGUACAGCAUGCGCACCUCGUGCACGAGCCUACUAUUGAAGCUGCCAUUACGCUUUUGGCCUGAGGGGGCAAUCGCAAGCAUAAAAAUUAAAAACUCUGUAAAGUCCCUUUAAUUAUUUUCCAAGCAGAGAGCCGCAUCAGAUGGAUGAAAGAGCCGCAUGUGGCUACAGAGCCAUGGAUUGCAGACCCCUGACUUAGAGAAAGGACAUAUUUGUGUUUUCUUCAACAGUGUAUGGAGGACUGCCCCGUUGACUAACAUCCAUAGCAGUGAGUAUGUCACAUUGUUCAUUGUCCAAUACUAUGUGGAGACAGUUUGACAGCGCCCCAUGACCGAGCUCUAUCUAUUGGUCUUGGCCAGACUACAGUAUAUAUAUAUACAGAGGAUGGCUUGACAGACUGACAUUAAACAACUUGCUGGACUGAUUUAAUGGUCAGCUUUACUAAUAAUUAUCUUGCAGUGGUAUCUAGUAGAAAUUAAUGCCUUGUAAGUAGAGGUGGGAAAAAUGAUCGAUUUUAAGAUGCAUCGCGAUUCAGCCGUGUAUGAUUCCGCAUCGAUGCAGCAACGUGACAUAAUGAGAUUCGCUCCCUAUGUCUAUGUCGGGGGUCGGCAACCGCGGCUCUGGAGCCGCAUGCGGCUCUUCCAUCCAUCUGAUGCGGCUCUCUGUGCUUGUAAAAUAAUGAAUGGAUAUCUAAAUAAAAUGCUUUAUAUUUUACUGCAUUAAUUUUACAUCUGUAUGCCAAUUCUAAAUGUAAAGAUUGUCUGCGUAAACCUGAACAAUUCCAACCCGGUCUUACUGUGAGACCGGGUAGACGCGUCACGCUUGUGCGUAAUCAUAUGCGUGUUCUGAGCUGACGAGGAUGUGAGAUUCUGGGCUUCUCCUCAGACGGCUCCUGGAUGUGUCGCCACAUUGGAGACAGGAACAAGCACUAUUCAGCCAAAGUUUCAUAAUCAGGGAACAUUUUCUAAGUGACAAGUCUCGCUUCAGUCGGAGGAAUCGUCCUGCAUGCGCCCUGGUUCUGCGACGUGCUCCAAGCC
This is a non-coding RNA of Nothobranchius furzeri (turquoise killifish), 7997 nucleotides long. The record is from RefSeq and is a predicted model, not a curated record. NCBI's taxonomy places the organism in Eukaryota, Metazoa, Chordata, Actinopteri, Cyprinodontiformes, Nothobranchiidae.